UACGGAGGGGGCUAGCGUUGUUCGGAAUUACUGGGCGUAAAGAGCGCGUAGGCGGCUUACCAAGUUGGGGGUGAAAUCCCGGAGCUCAACUCCGGAACUGCCUUCAAAACUGGUAGGCUAGAGUCCGGAAGAGGGGCGUGGAAUUCCCAGUGUAGAGGUGAAAUUCGUAGAUAUUGGGAAGAACACCGGUGGCGAAGGCGGCGCCCUGGUCCGGUACUGACGCUGAGGCGUGAAAGCGUGGGGAGCAAACAGG
This 253-nucleotide ribosomal RNA is filed under the name uncultured bacterium. Its description in RNAcentral is "partial 16S ribosomal RNA". It matches the Rfam family "Bacterial small subunit ribosomal RNA", at positions 524 to 776 of the family's 1533-position model. The record is from RNAcentral.